GAUGAACGCUGGCGGCGUGCCUAAUACAUGCAAGUCGAGCGAACAGACGAGGAGCUUGCUCCUCUGACGUUAGCGGCGGACGGGUGAGUAACACGUGGAUAACCUACCUAUAAGACUGGGAUAACUUCGUGAAACCGGAGCUAAUACCGGAUAAUAUAUUGAACCGCAUGGUUCAAUAGUGAAAGACGGUUUUGCUGUCACUUAUAGAUGGAUCCGCGCCGCAUUAGCUAGUUGGUAAGGUAACGGCUUACCAAGGCAACGAUGCGUAGCCGACCUGAGAGGGUGAUCGGCCACACUGGAACUGAGACACGGUCCAGACUCCUACGGGAGGCAGCAGUAGGGAAUCUUCCGCAAUGGGCGAAAGCCUGACGGAGCAACGCCGCGUGAGUGAUGAAGGUCUUCGGAUCGUAAAACUCUGUUAUUAGGGAAGAACAAAUGUGUAAGUAACUAUGCACGUCUUGACGGUACCUAAUCAGAAAGCCACGGCUAACUACGUG
Molecule: ribosomal RNA, 497 nt
Filed under: uncultured bacterium
Lineage: Bacteria
Description: partial 16S ribosomal RNA
Rfam family: Bacterial small subunit ribosomal RNA
Source: RNAcentral